Molecule: RNA transcript, 15622 nt
Organism: Callithrix jacchus (white-tufted-ear marmoset)
Lineage: Eukaryota; Metazoa; Chordata; Mammalia; Primates; Cebidae
Gene name: solute carrier family 2, facilitated glucose transporter member 3-like
Source: RefSeq, a predicted model, not a curated record
GUUCUUUAGAUAGGCAAUGGAUUAUCAUUUGAUUAUCUGACCCAAGUAAAUGAUAGCAAGUAGGGUGUGGGAAAUGGGGUGAACUGACUUCUUUGCUUUCUUGAAAUUUGAUUUUAGGUCUUUUAAAAUAACCAAAAAUAAUCCUGUUAUCACAUGGUACACUCAGAGUGGUAAGCUCUUCUCUCAGAUGUAUGAGCUGGUCUGUGUGUUCAAAUCUAAUUAGAGCCUAUUUGAUACUUUUGACACUAUGCAGAGGUUCUAAAAAUGAAAAUAACAUGGAAGUCCUAGGCUAAUCAUCAGAUCACUUUAUAGUCUUCCUACAGGGCAGAACUGGGAGUGAUGGAGUGAGUCACUCUGUUUUGUUUUGUUUUCAUUUUGUUUAAAUCAUUGUUUGUGUGAUGGGUGGGUCCCAAAGAGUACUCAAAACCUCUCUUGGCAAAUGUGAAUGACUUUGCAGCUGGGCUCUAAAUCAGUUUAUUGUGAGCCAUGAAAUGUCUUGGUGAUGUGGCUUUUCUGCUCUUAUAGAAUUCUCUAGUCUGUUGCAUAAUUUUGUCUCUACUAAGCAGUGAGCAAUUGAAGAAGUGUCCUUAAUAUGGCUGUCUGGAGAAUGGAUUGAGUAUUAUUAUCUCCUUCCUGUUACACAGGGAAACUUAACCGGUGUAAAUGUGGAUUUUGAGGAUGGUAAAGACCUGACAAGUCUGAAUUGAUUAAAGAAGAUAAUUAAGGGGUGUAGAAAUCUGUGCUGCUGAGCUGGAGUUGUGUGCAUGUGUUUGUGUAUGUUGGGGGAACAGAGAAGAUGCCAUCGAUACCCUGUUACAGGCAGAGAUUGCAGUGUGAUAGGUUAAUAAUAAAUAUUAAAUAUCCUAAUAAUAGGUUAGAAAAAAAGAGAAAGAAGUGAGAUAUACCCAUUUGCUGACUAAAAUAGGAUCUAGCAUAUUAUGCUUUUAAUACAGUACAUUUUUUAGGUACACAAGAAUUCCUGACUUGUUCUUUUAAGUAUUUUUCUGCCAGUAUUACUAUCUCCAUUAAAAUACAUAUCCAAGCCUCUAUAGUAUUUCUUUUGUGUAUAGGAUUGAUAAAGUUUCCAUGAACCAAUAUCUCAUAUAAAACCAAGAGUUACCUGUUCAUGUGUUUCAGAAUCAUUCCUGAGUUGCAAGUAGAUUGGCUUUGGAGUCAACUGAAGAACUUCUGAUUAAAAAUGAGGCUUGUUUAUCAGUCAGUUUCCCCCAGUAACUAUAAAGCAACGUGCCUAAAAGCAUGCCAAAAUAUAUGACAGUAAGUUACCAACAUAUAAGGCAGUUAAUAUCAGAAUUUUAGCUAUGAUAUCUCUAUCUGUAUGUCUUCAUCUCUGUGCUUAUUUGUUGUUAGAUAAUCCCUAUAAAUUUUGGGAACAGAUCUAUUGUAACACUUAUGAUUUUUUUUGAAUGUCGUAUCAAGACACAUAAUAUUUUGAGGGCUUCCCUACUAUAUGCUGGGUACCAGAGUAUCUAAAAAGUCACAAAAAUGGGUAAGAAAAUCAACUAUGCCCUAAAAGACCUUAUAAAUGAGAUGUGCUUUUGGUCAGAAUAAGCCAUAUAGGCAAAGGUAAGCCUUUGUUAUGUAGGUUGUCAUUUUUCUUCUUUAAUUUGCCAUCCAGUAAAAUAAAAUUUGCAUAUAUCAGUUACACAAGAGUUAAAAGAAGCAUAUGUGACUUUAUUUCUGAUGUUUACAUAAUAGCCAGAGGAAGAUAACUGUUUAUUAAUACACAUUUCACACAAGAUAAAUGCAUCAUAUAUAUAAAGAAAUAUAUGUCGUGAUUGAAUACUUACCAGUUUACCACUUUAAAAUUAUCAAAAUAGAAAAGAAAGUAGAUUCCUUUGGCAACUCAUCAUCUAAUUCAGUUCAACAUAAUUGAACCCGGUUUUUCAGUUAUCUGAACAUUACAGAUCAUUUAUUCCACUUUUACCAGAUACAGCUAAUAGUGAUUAGAUUUUUAUAUAAAAACAUAUUAUGUUAGAAUAAAAUGGUACUGUUUUGAUUAUCAUGUGUCAUAAUUAAAAUUCCCACAGUAACUUGACAUUCAAUGUACAGGUACUAAGAACGUCUAAAAAUAUUGUCCCAGUUCCUUUGAUUCCUAUGGUGAUGCCUUAUGCUACUUUUAAAUAAUUGCAAAUUAAAAUAAUGAAGCUAUCUUUUUUUGUUGGGACUUUCUAAUUACUUGUGACUCUUCUGAAAGUCUAGGUUGUAAUUCUUUAAGAUGAGAGUCAACUUAUAUGUUGUUACUUUCUGAGACCUCUAGUCAAGCCUGAUAAUAGUAUGGGAUUGUGAGAAAAGUGCUGUUCAUUAAUUCCUUCAUCCAUAUUAACCACAGCUAUCACCGUUAAUAAUUAGAAAGUAUUGGCAAAAGUAUUUUUCAAUGUUGGGAUGUAGUCACAUUAUCCUUUUUUUUCCAGUUGUACUAAUCUGUGAUAAUGUCAUUGCCUCUCAGCUUCCUUAAUCAUUAAGAAAAUUCAGGGCCGGGUGUGGUGGCUCACGCCUGUAAUCCCAGCACUUUGGGAGGCCGAGGAGGGUGGAUCACGAGGUCAGAGGAUCAAGACCAUCCUGGUCAUCAUGGUGAAACCCUGUCUCUACUAAAAAUACAAAAAAUUAGCUGGGCAUGGUGGCGCGUGCCUGUAAUCCCAGCUACUCAGGAGGCUGAGGCAGGAGAAUUGCCUGAACCCCAGGAGGCGGAGGUUGCGGUGAGCCGAGAUUGCGCCAUUGCACUCCAGCUUGGGUAACAAGAGCAAAACUCUGUCUCAAAAAAAGAAAAAAAAAAAAAAAUUUAGUACUACAGAAUUCUAAUUUUCCCAGCUUUUUUGGAUUUGGGUAGACGGAACUGAAGUAAGCUCCAGAAACAUUUUGUUCUUGCUUUAGAAAUCUGAUGUUCAUAACUUUAAUCCAAAACAGACUUUGUUGUGCCUCCCUCCCUUGGUAUAUAUAUUUGUGAGAAAAACCUAGGAAUGGAUUCUGACAGCUUUUCUUUCUAUCACAGAAAACUGUGGAAAAUGCUUUACAGACCACAGACAAAAGCAGCUAAGGGAAGCAUUUUAGAUUAUUGCUUUUGCUUUUUAAUAUUUCUAAAGCCUUAUAUAUUAAUCUUCACAGUUUUAUGUAGGUCUGCUUUUGUCUGCCUGGAUUCUCAGCCUUUCUGUUGUUUGGGGAAUGAAUUUCUUUUUUCCUUCAAAGAAGGAAAUAUGUUAUCAAAUAGUGGCUAGAAUACCCAGGGUGGUAGAGUAGUGUUGAUUUGUGUAUUCCCUUUGCUGUUUUAUUUUCCCUGUGAUGACACACUAGCAUGGAGUGUCCACUAUUCUGCUGUAAUCCUUUCAUGGGUACAUUAUUUCAGCGCUCCUGAAAGCCCAGAGCACACAAUAAGACAUGCACAUAUCAUAUUUUAGUGUAUCAGUAUGUAUCCAAACACUGCCUUUUAGUCUUUAUUUUUCUGAUUUUCUGUUUCAUGAAUAUCUGACCACUACUACAAAGAUGUUUUCUCAGCCUUUGUCCCAAUGACUGUCUUACAGGCUAAGCCUGUUACAGAAUCUCAAAGACUGAGAACUUUUUCUCCUCCAUGUCCUUUCUGAAUGUUGAGCUUUCAAUUUAUCAAUCAUCUUGAAAUGGUUAUGAGGAAUUAUAUUAUUUUAUUAAAAUGUCAAGAUAGCUCUCCCUACUCUAGGCUCUCUUUUUGAUCGAGGUGGAUUCCCUGACCUUGGUUCUAAACAUUUAUUCAUCCUUCAAACCUGAUUUUGGCAGUUGCUCAAUUGAUAAAGUAAAAGAAGAGUGUAGACAUUUAUAAUACCUUAGCACUUUAAACCCAAAACUUGCUGAAGCUAUUACUCAUCUGAAUCUGCCAGCUGACCUCCCCACGGAGGGAUAGAUCAAGUUUGCUGGUGUGCAUCAUAACGAUGAGGUUACAGGAAUGGAGAGAUGAAGGCCUGUGGCCAAGGUCACUCAAGGCCAGGUCCCCUGCUCUUCCAGAACAGCUUUCUUUCCCCUCCCUCAUGGUAUCUUCUAGGUGUUAGAGACAAACUCAGAGAAAAAGCAGGAGGAGCUGAAGGCAACAAAGAGGGUGAAAGUAUAAUGAAAAUCCUGCCCUUUCAUGAAGGAGUUGAAAUAACUCUCCUCUACCUCUAAGCUCUUCUUAUACUGCUAGGUAGUAGUAGACCAGCCAGGGAUCCUUUACCAGUAAUUUAGAGUUCCUGUAUUACUCAUUUGAUUUUGAACUAUCUUAAAACAAUUAGUCUAAAAUAUGUAUUUCCUUUGGAUGCAUCUCUUCUAGUAGGUUUUAAAAUGAAGCCAUUUUGAAGUUGUUCAGCUGCAAUCAAAGUUUGACCAUUUUCUUUAAAAGUGUGAAACAUGCACUUUGUUCUGCUCUAAAAAUUGUUGAGUGAGCUUUUGGGAAUUUUCUUCAGAUAACAUUCAGCUUUAGGGGGAAACCUGACUUAAAAAUGUGGAGAAAAAGCUCGAACUCCAAAGGAAAGACCUAAAGAACAUAUAUAAGUAGUUAGAAGUAAAAGCUUAGGUGAAGAUACCUGGUCUCUGAUCGUUAAUUUACUUGAAUCAAGCCUGCCUUUAUCGAAUCUUAAACAAAUUAUGCCUUUGGUACACUUGGCUCAGAUUCAUGACCUGAUUAAUAAAGAUAUUCCUGAAAGACACCCAGCAUUUUUAUAUUUAACCUCUUUCCUGUUUCCUCAUUACUUUGUUCAUUUUCAGCCACUUGUUCCUUUUUUAAACUCCCUCUCUCACCUUUCAUUCUUUGGCUUUUCUCUUUCCUCAUUAUUGUACUCCUUCUUCAUCUUUUUGUUCUCCUUGCUUCUCUGACACUAGAAGGAAGUUUUCUGAUUACCCGAUUAUGAAUUUGCCCCAGAGACCUGGACUUAGUGCUGGUCAAGGUAUAGGGAAGCAAAUACAUAUGAACACUUUUUGUAUGCAUGUAAAUUGAAAAGAUUUUAAAGAAUUUACACAGUAUAAUCUAUGCAGUAGCUUUUUUUAAAAGAUGAAUUAUGUUAUGUGAAAAGGCCGAUUGUGGAAUAUAUUUAAUAUAAUGCAAGAUUUGUAAUGACAGCUAAUUACAAAUAUAAAAUUAUUAUAUGGACAAUUAUUCACCCCUCUGCAAAAAAGAAAAGAAUUUGGAAGAUUUUCUACCAAGGCUAAGGUGUAAACAGUGAUUGUCAUUGUCACUAGGUAAUAGCAUUAGAAAUAGUAAUUCAAAUGAUACUUCUAAAAAAAGCUAAAAUAAAAUACUUCAAAUUGAGAAUUUUAGCUCUACUGUUUACCAACUUUGUCCAUUUUUCCUUUGGGUUAAUAUUUUUCUUGCUAAUUUAUAGGAGUUCCUUAUUUUCUUUGGAUGUGAGCCUUUUGUAUAUGUAUUACAAAUAUCUUCUUCCACUUCGUAGCUUGCCAUUUAUUCUCCUCAUGGUAUCAUUUGAUGAACUAAAGUUAUAAGUUUUAAUAUAAUGUGUCAAAAAUUUAUUUUUAUGGCUGUAUGUUUAUGUAUAACCAUAUAUUCCAUACACAGUAGGAUAAAAGAAAUCACAUGAAAAAUCUGGAUGAAAGGACAGUACUAGGAUUGGAUGGUGAGAUUAAGAAUUAAAAUAUGAAUCACACAAUUGUGUACCUUUCCUAGUGGUAGGCCACAGAUUUAAUCAAGCAUCUCUCAGCAGCCAAUGGAAGGAGAUAAUCAUGGCCCAUUACAAGAUUCACUGUGUCCUUAAAAAACAAAUAGAUACUCAAAUUAGUUUCUUCAGGUAUUGAUCCCCAAAUGACCUCUCCUGCAGCUUAAAAAGAAGAUGCCAUGGAGGGAAGUAAAUCAGAUUCACAAUAAUAUCCCUCAAGGGAACUAAAUGUCAGGAUUCGUAAAGGCUGGUUCUUUAGCUUCUCUCAGUGACGGUGCCAUAACAUGAAAGCAUCUGAUGAGCUAAUACUGUGUGGUCUAAAUACACAGCUUGAUACAAGAAUAAAACUUAGAAUAGCUCAGAAAGUGGGUUUUGUUUACUUCUAUUUCUAUAAACUGUUUCAGUGAGAAAAGAGACUAUAUAAUUAGAGAGAACUUAAAAUUUUAACCUACCUGUUUCCAGUCUUCAUUUUCACACAAGUAAAAUGAUACAGAUACAAUUAAAGACCAUGUGUAGCCCUCCCUGAUUCAUUUCUCUCCCUCCCCAGAAGCCACUGGCCUCAAGUUGGCAUUUAUCAUUCCUAGGCAUAGUUUUUCACUCUUACUAUGUGUGUAUGUGUCACUGAGCAAUAUUGGAUUCUAAAUAUUAUGCAUUAUUAUACAUUUUAUUAAAAUGGCUUCAUUUUGCAAUUUUUUUUCACUUAGCAUUGUUGUUGAGAUUUUUUUUCAUGUUGCUACUCGUUACUCUAUUUCAUUUAUUUAAACUACCAUAUCCACUCUGUUAACGUUAAUAUGCCCUGCUGUGUUUUAAAUACUCCUUAGCCAGUUGGGUUGUUUGUAACGCACAUUGAUUGCCUCUUCCUAGUCUUGCUUGGUCGUCUCCCCCUUACCCUAACCCCUAAUGGAGUUGUCUUUUUGUUUUUGAUAUAUGCACAAUUUAAAAUUAUUCUGGAAAUACUGUCACACAUAUGGAAAUUGUUAUCUGUCACUUUUUCACUUUGUUUAUUUUACAGAAGGAUUUUGGGGUUUGUUUGUUUUAGAUGGAGUUUUGGUCUUGUCCCCCAGGCUGAAGUACAGUGAUAUUAUCUUGGCUCUGCGAACUCCGCCUCCUGAAUUCAAGUGAUUCUUCUGCCUCAGCCUCCCAAGUAGCUGGGAUUACAGGCGUGUGCCAACCUGCCUGGCUAACUUUUGUAUUUUUAAUAGAGAUGGGGUGUCACCGUGUUGGCCAGGCUGGUCUUGAAUACCUGACCUCAGGUCAUCCACCCACCUCAGCCUCCCAUAGUGCUAGGAUAACAAGUGUGAGCCACUGUGCCCAGCCAAUAGAAGGGUUUUAAUUUAAUGUCAUCAACUCACUCAUUUCUUUUAUUGGUUAUAUUUUUGUAUUUUCUUCAAGAAUUCUUUUUCUUCCCUAAGAAUAUGAAGAUAGAAUCGCUUACUUUCUAGUAGAAGUUAUAAGGUUUUGCUUUUCAUAGGCUUCCUAAAUAUGUAUCAUUGAUUUUAUGCAUGGUAGGAAGUAAGGAUUUAAUAUUUUCGUGCUAUUCUCUUAUCAGUUGCGUCAGUACCAUUUAUUGAAUGGUAAGUGCAUCCAUCUUUUCUUCACUUUUUUCACCUUUAUAAUUGUGAAAUAUGCACACAUAAAGAAGAGUACACAAAAAAUAUACAGCAGUGGUUUAUCACAAAAGCAGACAUCUGUUUAACAACCCUGUUAAGAAAUAGAACUUUGCCAAGACCAUUGAUGCCUGCUCAUGCCCUCUCCUGCCAGGUAGCUACUAUUCACCCAGGUAAUUAUUUUCCUUUUCUUUUUAGUUUUUCCCUCCUUCCUAUUCUUUUCAAUUUUAACAUAUUUUGCUUCCCUAAAUACCAUAGUUUAGUUUUAAUUUGUGUUUAACUUUUAUACAAAGAGAAUCAAGUAGUAUAUUUUUUGAACCUUGUGAAGACAGUAUGUUAUUUUAAACUUUUAUGUAAUGGAUAGCAAAGAGUGUGUUUUAUUUUGUGUCUGGAUUCUUUUGCUCAAUAUUAUGUCUGUAAGGUAUAUGCAUUCUAUAUAAUUCACUCAUUUAUAUUGUCAUGUAGUAUUCUGUUGCAUGAAAAUACCACAGUUUACCCAUUUUACUAUUUAUGGACUUUCUGGGUGUGUUUCCAGUUUGGGGCUAUUACAACUAAUGCUGAUGUGAAUACUCACCUAUGUGUCUCUUGGUGUAUGUGGGUGUACGUUUCUGGUGGAUAUCUGUCUACCUAGUGGUAGUAUUACAAGCUCAUAGAGUAAGCAUAUCUUUAGAUUUAAUGGAUAAAACCAAAGUAUUUUCCAAAAUGAAUGAACAAUUUACCUUCUUAGCAAUGUCUGAAAGUUUCUCUCACUUCACAUCCUACCAGUCUCUUCCAUUUUAGCCUUCUGGUGACUAGGUAGCUGAGCUGUCAUCCCUGCCUAUGCCUGUUUACUCAGGCAUGUCUUCCUGGUGAAUAACUAUAGUGCAAUGCAAAGAUGCUUCACUAGAGUCCCAUCCCUUUAGCCUCUCAGCUGCUGCUUCCAGAAACAGCAAAUACCUUCAUGGGAAAAUUGACUCCAAAUACUGUGCUCACUUCUCUAGACCUAUUUUUCUUUCCCAAACCUUGGCCUGGUAAUUCUUCAGUACCUUUUAGUUCUUUGAGGCUUUUAAGCCGAUAUAUUUUUUAAUUUGUUAAGUCUUCUAAUUUUGUUCCUUUCCAUUGAUAAUAAUGAUACAUGUAUCAAAUUUUAUUAUAUGCACAGGUCUUUCUCUGGUCUACUUGGUUGAUCUACUUACUCCUAUACCAGUAUAAAAGUUAUCAAAUCAAUAGUUAUAAUACUCUUAAUAUCUAGUAGAUAAAAUCUGUCUGUCUACAUUGUUCUUUGGAGCUUUCAUGGUUAUUGUUGGUCCUUUACUCUUUUAUUUGAAUUUUAAGAUCAGCCCAUCAAAUAAGUACUUCACAGGUACUUCAGAUUGUGAGUUCACAUUUUGAGGUGCAAAAUUCUAUAUUAUGUCUAUUAUAACAAAGUAAUUGAAUUAUUUAAAUUUUAAUUUCUUGUCUGCAUGAUCAAUUAACUCACAGUAACUGUCAUACUGAUGGUUAUUUUUUAUUGUUUUUAAUAAUGUUUUUAUUGGCAUAUACAUGUAUAGAAAAGUAUAUAGAUUAUAAGUAUUCAGCUUGAUGGAUUGUCACAAAGUGAACACAUCCAUGUAGUCACCAUCCAUCACAAGAAAUAGAUAUUAUCAGCAGCUCCCUGUGAUGGUUCACAGGGAGUACAUAUGUUCAACGAUGGGAGAUAUUGCCUGUAUUAGCUUCGUAAGGCUCUUUAAACAAAGCACCACAAACUCAGUGGGUUACAACAGAAACUUAUUCUUCCCAUUAUGGAGGUUAGAAGACUGAAAUCAAGGUGUUGGCAGGGCUAAAAUUUCUCCUGAGGCUCCAGGGGAGAAUCUCUUCUUUUCUCUUCCAGCUUCUGGUGACUGAUGGCAUUCCUGUGGCUGCAUAACUCUUAUCUCUGACUCUGUCUUCACCUGGCCUUCUCCUCUGUAUUCAUCUUCUCCUCUUCUGUAUCUUCUAAGGACUUGUCCUACAAGUGUGGUUGGGAUUUAAGGCCCACCAACAUAAUCCAAACUGAUUUCAUCUCAAGAUCCUUGUUGCAAAGACCCUCUGACAAAUAAGAUUGCAUUCACAAGUUCUAGGGUUAGGACAUAAAGAUAACUUUCUGAGAGUCACUAUUCAGCCCAUUGACACUGCCAAACAGUUUAAACAUUGGAAGAAUUGGUACUCCCACCAAUAGUGUGUGUGUUCUUGUUGAUCCAUACCUUAGACAACGUAGAUCAGCUUUUUUUCAGACAUUCAGUUGGGUGUACAAUAGCAUAUCAUUGUGGCAUGAAUUUAUCUUUCCCUAAUUAAAAUCACGUUGAGUACUUUGCCAUGAAAAUCUUUUUGAAGUCUUUAUUUAAUUCUAUGUUGGUUUUUUUAAAAUAUUCUGCACUUUUUAUUAUUAAUAUAGAGGAAUUCUUUAUAAAUUAGUGAUGCACAUCCUUUGUAAGUGCGCUGUUUGCAAAUUACUUCUGCUCUUUCAUGACUUUCACUACAUUGAAUUUAUCAGUCUUUUAAAGUUUGUCUUUUAUCAUGUCCUCCUUAAGGAAUCUUGCCCUUCAGUUAGUGUACAACAUUUAUAUUUUAUUGUAACAAAUUUUUUGGUUUUGAAUUAUCUGUAUAGUUUCAUGUUUUAUAAAUUCUGUCAAUUCUGAAUACACUGAAAAAAUAAUAUUAAUACCAACAUUUUAGCAUUAUGAACAUUUGUACCUAGCUACUGACACAAAAUUUUUUGUCAAUACUGAAAUCACUUGGGUAGGAAUUACCCAUUUAUAUAAUUUGGGAACUUUGGGGAAAAUUGAAAUAUAGUAAACUUUUAUUUUAAUAUAUACAUUAAUCCUAAAUAGAAUAAAAUAAAAAUAUAUGCAAAGUAUGAAUUGUAUACACUGUGUGAUAUAUAUCUAUCAAAUUACCUUACCAGUCUUCCAUCAUAAAAGUAUUUUGUGUAGCUUGAUUGGCUCAUCAAAGUAUACCAAAAUGGAUCUCUGUCAGGGAAAAAAAAGAAAAGAAAAACCGUCUUCUCACUUUUUUGUAGAAAAAAUAGAUAAAGCCCUCUGAAAAACAAAAUGUGCAUUUGUUUUACCCUCAAUGACUAACUUAUUUUCAAAUCUCCCAUUGUAAUUGUAAACUUGUGUAUUUCUUCUAAUUCCAUACAUCUACUCUGUUUUAAGAUUUCAUUAUUAUGUGUGUUAUUAGUUUGAAAUUUUUAUGUAUUUCUGAUAAUUCCUUUGUCAUCAAGAAUUUUUUUUUUUUUAAGAGACAGGAUCUUGCUGUGUUGCCCAUGUUGUCCUUAAACUCCUGGGCUCCAGUGAUCCUCUCACCUCAGCCUCCAAGUAGCUAAGAGCUGGGACUACAGCCAUGAGCCACCAUACCCAGCUCAAAAAUAAUUCUUCCCCCGCCCCCUGAGAAGGAGUUUCAUUCUUGUUUACCCAGGCUGAGUGCAAUGGUGUGAUCUCGGCUCACCGCAACCUCCGCCUCCGGGGUUCAGGCAAUUCUCCUGCCUCAGCCUCCUAAGUAGCUGGGAUUACAGGCACGCGUCACCAUGCCCAGCUAAUUUUUUGUAUUUUUAGUAGAGACAGGGUUUCACCAUGUUGACCAGGAUGGUCUCGAUCUGUUGACCUCGUGAUCUACCCGCCUUGGCCUCCCAAUAAUUCUUUUUUAAAGUCAGAAGUGCUCUGUGCUAAAAUAAUGCAGUUAUACAGGAAGCAUACUAGAAGUGCUAGAAUCCUGCCUCUCAGCCCUAGGUUAGAAGACAGAACAGGAUCCUUGUUUUCCUAAGCAGAGAGGACUCAGCGGUGAGAAGGCAGGAUGUGGAUGUUCAAUUGUUCCAGAGCCAUUCGAUAAAAAGAUUUUUUAUCUCUUUGUACCUUUGUCAAAGAUCAGUUGACUAUAAAUCUGUGGGUCUGUUUCGGGCUCUCUCUUCUUUGUGCUCCACUCAUCUAUUUGUUGUUAUUUCACCAGUACCAUGCUGUCUUGAUUACUGUAGCUUUGCAAUAAGCCUUUAUGUCAGGUUAUGUGAGUCCUCUGAUUCGUUCUCCUUCAAUAUUGUGUUGGUUAUUCUGAAUCUUUUUGCCUCUUCAUGUACCCUUCAGAAUCAGUUAGGCAGUAUCUGCUAAAUAACUGUUGUGAUUUGUAUUGGGAUUGCAUUGAAUGGGUAGAUGAUGCUGGAAGAAUUGCCAUCUUGACAAUAUUGAGGCUUCUUAUCUAUGAACACAGACUAGCUCUUCACUUAAUUUCUCUUUAAUGUCUUUCAUCAGAGUUUUAUUGUUUUCUUCAUAUAGUUCUUAUAUAUUUUUUUAGAUUUAUACCUAAGCAUUUUACUUUUCGGGGUGCUAAUGUAAGUGGUGUUAUAUUUUUAAUUUCAAAUUUUACUUGUUUAUUUCUGAUAUAUAGGAAGGCAGUUGACUUUUGUAUAGUAUCUUACAAUCUGGCUAUAGUCAGUUAAUAUUUCCAUGAGUUUUUAAGUUAGUUUUUUUUUUUUUUCAGAUGAGAACAGAGACAGUUUUCUUCCUUCCCAAUUUGUGUACCUUUUAUUUCCUUUUUUUAUUUUAUUACCUUUCUAAGACUUUCAGUUCAGUGCUGAAAAGGAGUGUUAAGAGGAGACAUCUUCACCUUGUUCCUGAUCUUAGAGAAGCUUCUAGUUUCUCACCAUUAAAUAUGAUAUUAGCUGUAGGUUUUUUAGUAGAUAUUCUUUAUUAAGUUGAACAAGUACCCUUCUAUUCCUAAUUUCCUGCAAGUUUUUAUCAGGAAUCAGUGUUGGAUUUUGUCAAAUAUUUCUUCUGCAUCUGUUGGUAUGACCAUAUGAUUUUUUUCUUAGCCUAUUGAUCUGUGGAUUACAUUAAUUGAUUUCCAAAUGUUGUACCUGCCUUGCAUACCUAGGAUAAACUCCCUUAGCUAUGGUGUGUAAUUAUUUUUAUAUGUUGUUAGAUGUGAUUUGCUAAUAUUUUGUUGGGAAUUUUAUAUCUGUGUCAUCAGAGUUACUGGUCUGUAGCUUUCUUGGAACGACGGUCUGGUUUUGGUAUUACGUUAAUGCUGGCCUCAAAGAAUGAGUUAGGAGGUAUUCCCUCUGCUUCUAUAUUCUGAAAUAAAUUAUAGACAGUUACUAAGAUUUCUUUUUUAAAUCUUUGGUAGAAAUCACAGAAACCCCCAUGUCCAUAACCAGUUGAUUUUUGACAAAGUUCCAAGAGCAUACAUUGGGGAAAGGACAGUCUUUUCAGUAAAUGGUGUUGGGAAAACUAGAUAUCCACAUGCAAAAGAAUGAAACUAGACCCCCAUGUCCCACCCUUUACAAAAAUCAAUGCAAAAUGAAUCUAAGACCUAAAUCAAAAAGACAGAACUACUAGGGGGAAACAUCAGGACACAGGUCUGGGAAAAGAUUUUUUGAAUAAGACUUCAAAGAAAUGCUGUAAUGGUAAGAGUUUAGAGCAUUCCUGAGGACCUGGAGAAAACUUGUUGCUGAGAAGGACAUUUUGAAGGAUUCGUUGGUUGAAAAAUGUGUCUGGAAUCACAUUCCUAAAUCUUUCUUGAAGACUUGAAAAGAAUUAGAUUAGGGCCAUGGGGACACAGAGGUUACCCCUGCUCUGAUCUUUGCCAACACAGUUGCUACAAUUGGCUUUCCAAUUUGGCUACAACACUGGGGUCAUCAAUGCUCCUGAGAUGAUCAUAAAGGAAUUUAUCAAUAGCACUUUGAGGGACAAGGCAAAUACCUCUCCCUCUGAGAUGUUGCCCAUGUCUCUCUGGUCCUUGUCUGUGGCCAUCUCCGUUUGUGGUAUGAUUGGCUCCUUUUACGUCGGAUUCUUUGUCAUCCACUUUGGCAGGUGCAAUUCAGUGCUUAUCAUCAGCCUGUUGGCUGUCACUGGUGGCUGCCUCAUGGGAUCGUGUAAAGUAGCUGAGUUGCUUGAAAUGCUCAUCCUGGGCCGCUUAGUUAUUGACCUCUUCUGCAGACUAUGCACAGGUUUUGUGCCCAUGUACAUGUGGAGAGAUCUCACCUACUGCCCUGCAGGGUGCCUUUGGUACUCUAAACCAGCUGAACAUUGUUGGAAUUCUGGUGGCCCAGGUCUUUGGUCUGGAAUUUCUGGAAUUCAUCCUUGGGUCUGAAGAGCUGCGGCCAGUGCUGUUGGGCUUUACCAUCCUUACUGCUAUCCUACAAAGUGCAGCCCUUCCAUUUUGCCCUGAAAGUCCCAGAUUUUUGCUCAUUAACAGAAAAGAAGAGGAUGCUUAGUAGAUCCUCCAGUGGUUGUCGGGCACCCAAGAUGUAUCCCAAGACAUCCAGGAGAUGAGCGAUGAGAAUGCAAGAAUGCCACAAGAAAAGCAAGUCACCGUGCUGGAGCACUUUAGAGUAUCCAGCUGCCGACAGCCCAUCAUCAUUUCCAUUGUGCUCCAGCUCUCUCAGCAGCUCUCUGGAAUCAAUGCUGUGUUCUGUUACUCAACAGGAAUCUUCAAGGAUGCAGGUGUUCAAGAACCCAUCUAUGCCACCAUCGGUGAAGGUGUGGCUAAUACUGUCUUCACUGUCGUUUUCCUGUUUCUGGUGGAAAGGGCAGGAAGAAGGACUCUGCAUAUGAUAGACCUUGGAGGGAUGGCUUUUUGUCCCAUACACACGACUGUUUUUUUUAGUUAUUAAAGGAUGACUGUAAUGGGAUGAGCUUUGUCUGUAUUAGGGCUAUCUUUGUCUUUAUUCCCUGGUUUAUUGUGGUUGAACUCUUCAGUCAGGGCCACUGCCCAGCUGUGAUGGCAGUUGUCGGCUGCUCCAAGUGGACCUCCAACUUCCUAGUUGGAUUGCUUCUUCCCUCUGCUGCUUGCUAUUUAGGACCCCAUGUUUUUAUUAUCUUCACUGGCCUUCUCAUUACCUUUUUGACUUUUACCUUCUUCAGAGUCCCUGAGACCCGCAGGACAUUUGAGGAUAUCAUGCAGGCCUUUGAAGGGCAGGCACAUGGUGCAGAUAGAUCCGGGAACGACGGCAUCAUGGAGAUAAACAGCCUCCAGCCUGCUAAGGAGACCACCACCAGUGUCUCACUCAUGCCUCCUUCCACCUCCCUCGAAUCAUGGGAAAGCCACUGGUCUCUGAAUGAUGAAAAACCUCAUCAGGAUGAGCCCAGGACUGCUUCUGAAUGCUGCUACUUGAUUCCUGUCUUAUCCCAUGCACUCCUUAAGCACCCCAAGGCUGGGGUUUUUUAGGUUUUCAAUGGCUUUUAAAAUAUUUUAUUCCCUGGACAUUAUCUUCUGCUUAGGAGAGACCAAGUGAACCUACCUUCAUUUCAGGAGGGAUUGGCCUCUUGGCAUAUGACAACUUCGCCAGCUUUGGGUUCUAAUAUUUCUGUACUAGGGGAUAUAGCAGAGGAAAAGUAAGGUGCAGUUCUCCCAACCUCAGACUUAUCAGGAAGCAGAUACACCUAUGAAUGUGGAAGGCAGAGGGAGUUUAAGACCACCUUCCUCACUUCUAUACAGCUCCACACAGCAAAUUAACUUGAGUUUUAUUUAUUUUAUCUUAUGGUUUCAUUACAUAUAUAUAUUUGAGUUCUGGCAUACAUAUGCAGAAUGUCACGUUUGUUACAUAGGUAUACAUGUGCCAUGGUGGAAAUAUUUAUUUUUUUAAGUGUAAUUUUGCCAAAUAAUAAGAACAGAAGGAAAUUGAGAUUAGAAGGAGCUGCUUAAAGAGAGGUUGAAGAGUAAAAGAUUUGAUGCUGGAGAGGUUAAGGUGCAAUAAGAAGAAUUUAGGGAGAAAUGUAGUUCAUUAUUGAAGGGUAAAUGAUGUGGUGCCUGAGGUCUGCACGUUACCUCUUAACAAUUUCUGUCUUUCAGAUGGAAACUCUUAAGUUUAAUUUCUCAUAAAGGCCAUAUGCCUAUAUAAUUAAGCUACCGAUUUCCUUUGGAACUUUUUUCUUUAAGAUAAUAGUUUACAUGUAAUACUUGAAAUCUGGGAUUAUUAACUAAUAUGGGCAUUGUAGUUAAUGGUGGUUGAUAGGUUCUAACUUUGGAUGGAGUCAAGGGAAGGGAAAGUUAUUUCUAGAAAGCCUGUUCCCCCUCACCGGACCAAACAACUCCUCCUUGUAAUAGACUCAUUACCUUUGAAGUAAUCCCACCACCUAUGUGGUGGGAGAGCCACCCAAAUGAAAACCCUAAAAUAAUUGGUUCUUGGUAGAGAUUCCUUUUUGUUCUAGGAGAUUUUAGUUGUUGAUUUGCUGUUUUAAUGCAUACCUUUCAAGGAAUUUCCCAAAUGUUUAUAGCUGACUUGGAAUUUGUAACCUCAGCUCUCGGAGAGGAUUUUUUUCUGAACGAUCAUUGUCUAAAGUGUGUUGUUGCUUUAGGGUCACAGCAUGCUUGUGUAUGUCUGUUACCAUGUCACUGUGGUCUUACACCAAGUGCCCUUAGGGGACUUGAAUCUUUCCAAUAGACCAUGUUUGAGAUAGU